AGUGAACGCUGGCGGUAGGCCUAACACAUGCAAGUCGAACGGCAGCACAGGAGAGCUUGCUCUCUGGGUGGCGAGUGGCGGACGGGUGAGGAAUACAUCGGAAUCUACUUUUUCGUGGGGGAUAACGUAGGGAAACUUACGCUAAUACCGCAUACGACCUACGGGUGAAAGCAGGGGACCUUCGGGCCUUGCGCGAUUGAAUGAGCCGAUGUCGGAUUAGCUAGUUGGCGGGGUAAAGGCCCACCAAGGCGACGAUCCGUAGCUGGUCUGAGAGGAUGAUCAGCCACACUGGAACUGAGGCACGGUCCAGACUCCUACGGGAGGCAGCAGUGGGGAAUAUUGGACAAUGGGCGCAAGCCUGAUCCAGCCAUACCGCGUGGGUGAAGAAGGCCUUCGGGUUGUAAAGCCCUUUUGUUGGGGAAGAAAUCCAGCUGGCUAAUACCCGGUUGGGAUGACGGUACCCAAAGAAUAAGCACCGGCUAACUUCGUGCCAGCCGCCGCAGUAA
RNAcentral lists this ribosomal RNA (506 nucleotides) under uncultured bacterium. RNAcentral's name for it is "partial 16S ribosomal RNA". It matches the Rfam family "Bacterial small subunit ribosomal RNA", at positions 29 to 523 of the family's 1533-position model. The record is from RNAcentral.